CCUACGGGAGGCAGCAGUAGGGAAUAUUGGUCAAUGGAGGAGACUCUGAACCAGCCAUGCCGCGUGCAGGAAGACGGCCUUCUGGGUUGUAAACUGCUUUUGACAGGGAAGAAAACGGCCAUGCGUGGCUAACUGACGGUACCUGUAGAAUAAGCACCGGCUAACUCCGUGCCAGCAGCCGCGGUAAUACGGAGGGUGCAAGCGUUGUCCGGAUUUAUUGGGUUUAAAGGGUACGUAGGUGGCCUUAUAAGUCAGUGGUGAAAUGCUGCAGCUUAACUGUAGCACUGCCAUUGAUACUGUAAGGCUUGAGUAUCGUUGAGGCAGGCGGAAUUUAUGGUGUAGCGGUGAAAUGCAUAGAUACCAUAAAGAACACCGAUAGCGAAGGCAGCUUGCUAAGCGAUAACUGACACUAAUGUACGAAAGCGUGGGUAGCGAACAGGAUUAGAUACCCUGGUAGUCCACGCCGUAAACGAUGCUCACUCGAUGUAUGCGAUAUACUGUAUGCGUCCAAGCGAAAGCGUAAGUAGC
This 528-nucleotide ribosomal RNA is filed under the name uncultured bacterium. RNAcentral's name for it is "bacterial SSU rRNA". It matches the Rfam family "Bacterial small subunit ribosomal RNA", at positions 338 to 869 of the family's 1533-position model. The record is from RNAcentral.